AUACUUACCUGGCAGGGGAGAUAACAUGAUCACGAAGGUGGUUUUCCCACAGUGAGGCUUAAACAUUGUAAUUUGGAUAUGCUGACUCCUGCAAUUUCCCAUAAUGUGGCAAACUUGACUGCAUAAUUUGUAAUAGAGGAGCAGUGCAUUUGCACUCUCCCC
This is a small nuclear RNA of Sorex fumeus (smoky shrew), 162 nucleotides long. RefSeq annotates it as U1 spliceosomal RNA. Lineage: Eukaryota; Metazoa; Chordata; Mammalia; Eulipotyphla; Soricidae. The record is from RefSeq and is a predicted model, not a curated record. The transcript has a single exon.